GUAUGUGUGUGUGUAUGUGUGUGUGUAUGUGUGUUCUUGUUUAUAUGGUAUAGGGGGACAUUUGACCUGAAAUCUCACCAGCACUAUGAGGACAUUUUGGUUUAUGAGGACAUUUUCAAUGUCCCCAUAAGUCGGGCACUGUAGAAGAACUUCCUUCAUUGUUAUUAACUAUGUCCUGCUUUUUUAACUCAUGUCCUAAUAUACCAUAAAGACCUGGUUUUGUUGUGUAUCACACACAGCCCAUACUCCCCCUAUGUCUGGUUGUUGGUAGUGCAGCUUGAUACGAUUUUUUUUCAUUGGCUCAUGGGUUGUAUGCAUGUCUGAUCACCGAUUGGCUACUGCUUCUGUCAAUAACGGGGACGAUCGUUGAUUCGCGGUUGCGUCUUUGAGUCACCGCAUUCUGGCGGUAAACUAUCAACUUUCUAUGUCGCGAGCCUAUAGCUAGUGAAAACCCCGCCAAGAUAUGCUGAAGCUUAUUUUACCUCAGAAGACAUCACCUGAAAGUAACCACGACGCGAAGAGGACUUUUCUAAUGGUUAUCUUGACUACUAAAUAGGUAAGUAAUUUUUCUAUUCACACAAUUGAUCAAAUGUAUUAUUUAGUUUACAAUUUUAUAGCUAAAAUAUAUAAAAUGUGCAGUUUAACACAAACGUGAACAGGGUAGAGUAAUGACUGCUACAGUACUAGUAACUUGGUAAUUAUGUACUGUACUCCUGUUCUGUUGUUCAAGCAGGCUAAUGGGUUAAUACUACUGAGAUUAAACUUGCGUUGAUGUUAUUAUUGGAGUGUCUCGCAGUUUUAUAGUCAGUCCUGAGUGUUUUUGUAGUCUGGCUAAUAUGAGUUUUUUUUUUUUUUGCCUGUGCUUAAAACAUUUGUUAAUGUCGUAUUUCUGUCCGAACGUGAGUUAAUUGUUGUCGUCUGCUUGUUAGCGGUAAGUUAAGUAAUUGUUUCAAGCUAACGUUAGCGAAUGUAAUGAUGGACAUUCAAUGGGCUCUAAAGUGCCAGCAGUUUCUUCUCUCAAAAUGAUUUCGCUUUUAGUGUUGUUUAGAAACUGUAUAAAAAGCCAAUACAUGGCCUUGUGUUUGGCCGUGUUUGAGAAAUGAAGUGUUCCUCUUGUCAUGAUCUGAUAAUUUGACUGAUGUAUCCCUCAUUCACCCAAGUAGGUGAGUAAUAGUAAUAUAAUAUGAAUAUAGUGUAUUGUCAGGCGUUGUUGCUCAACUGCGGGGGUCCUGUGCGGUCUAAUAGUAAGAACAAGGGGAACGAGUGGCAAGUACACUGAUAGGUCUACCUGUUGUGGCUGAGUAGCCCCAUACUAAAGCCACAAUUGAUAUUGAGUUGGAGAACUGUCUUUCAUCACUCAUAGUUCACUAUUACAGUUGGGUUAAAAUAACCCUGUAUGUUGGGUUGUGAUGUAAACACAGCACAUUUGGUCAGAUGAUUGACUUGGUAUUUCAUAAGUGAAGAAAUAUUUAGACUUUGUAUUUCAUAAGUGAAUAAAUAUUUAGACGGUUAGUAACUGAAUGUGGCUGCAGUUGUAUUAUAUCUGUAGUUGUAUUGGCUGCAAACAUGAAUUACUUGCAUCUAAAAUAUAGGUUUAAAAUGCAGUCUUUUGGUAUAUUUAAUUGUGAACAUGACAGCAUUUAUCACUGGAAAGUGUAUAUUUGUACAGUGAUAAUGUAGGCUAAUAGAAUAGUUGGUUUAGCAAAAAGCCUAAGAAAUAUUUUUCUAUUUGUCUAGUAUUGAUGCAGCAAACACUGAAUCACUUGCCAGAUUUGUCAACGAUGACCACAUCAAUCCGAACAGCAAAAUGAAAAGGCUAACAGUUGGAGGGAAGCCCCACCUCUGUUUAUUUGCAACGACCGACAUAAAACCUGGAGAGGAAAUUUCCUAUGAUUAUGCUGACUCGGACUGGCCGUGGUGAAAUAAGCAAAUCCAUGUCCAAGAAAUGUCCGUUACUACAGAGACCGAGAACACUGAAGAGUGUCAGGAUAUUCUUGUACAUUCUGUUGCAUCCUCUUUGGACAAAUGCAAUGUCUGCAGUGGUGGCACAAUGUCAUCACUCAGGUGGUCUGGAAUGCAAUGUAAAGGUGUGUCUUUUCUUGCCCCAAUCUUCAUACUGUAUGAUAAAAACUGUCCACAACAAAAACGAUUCUUAAACAUCGAGACUGCUAGUACCAGUUGAUUUUGGAGAUGGGUUUGAUAUAAUUAUUUGUUUUUACAAUCAAGCCAAUAUUUCAAUUGGCUUCUGAUUUAUUUAAAUGGAGAAACAAAGGUAGCCGGUUUCCAGACCUCAAUGGGCACAGACUUUGUAAGAAACAAAGGACUGACAUUCAGGAGGCAAAAUGAAAAAGCGAUCAAUACACAAAUGUAAAGAUUAUCAUUCAGUACAUAAUUUGUUUAACAUUUUAUAUGGUCAAAUCAAAAAAGCAACUUUUGUGACAAUAACGCAUAGAAAACGUAUGAUUUAUAUAUCAGCAUCUCAAAAGACAAUGGGUUAUGCACUUGCUUUGGAAUCUGCUGUGUAGUGAAUUAAUGAGUGGCGAUAGACCCUAAUCUACAUUUGGUUACAGUAUAGCCUACAUUUAAAAUGUAUUAAAUUAUGAGGGGGAAAAAAUCGAACUUGCUCGCAAUACCCCAUAAUAAAAACAAAACAGGUUUAAUUAUUUUUUGCAAGUUUAUAAGAAACUGAAAUAUGACAGGGCUUGACGAUAAUUCAAUCAAUACUGUUAUAGUUUUUAAAUAAUUAUAUUAUUGGGUUAUAUCGCCCACCCCUAAUAUGAAAUGUACACUAUUAUUCACAUCCCUUAAUGAAAGAGGGGUGUGAGCCUAGGGUCUUUUUGGGUAUGACGCUACAAGCUUGGCACACCUGUGUUUGGGGAGUUUCUCCUAUUCUUCUCUGCUGAUCCUCUUAAGCUCUGUCAGGUUGGAUGCAAAACAAUGCUGCAUAGCCAUUUUCAGGUCUCCAGAGAUGUUCAAUCGGGUUCAAGUCCAGGUUCUGGCUGGGCCACUCAAGGACAUUCACUGACUUGUACCAAAGCCUCUCCUGCAUCGUCUUGGCUGUGUGCUUAGGGUCAUUGUCCUGUUGGAUUGUCAACCUUCUCCACAGUCUAAGAUUCUGUUCACUCUGGAACAGGUUUUCAUCCAGGAUCUCUCUGUACUUCUCUGUCUUUAUCUUUCCCUCAAUCCUGGCUAGUCUCCCAGUCCCUGCUGCUGAGAAACAUCCCCAUAACCUGUUGCUGCUCCAACCUUGUUUCACUGUAGGGAUGCAUUGGCCAGAUGUGUGGUGCCUGGUUUCCUGUUGUCUGCAACAUUGAAGGUCUCGAAGAACAGUGGUAUCCAUCAUUCUAAAAUGUUUCCAUUUUAGAAAAAUGUAACUCCUUUGGGCUUAAUGUCAAGCGUCAUGUCUGCAGACAACCAGGCACUGGUCAUAUGGCCAAUGCAUCCCUAUGGUGAAGCAAGGUGUUUUUCAGCAGUAGGGACAGAGUGACUAGUC
Esox lucius (northern pike) is the source of this 3493-nucleotide long non-coding RNA. RefSeq lists it as uncharacterized. Lineage: Eukaryota; Metazoa; Chordata; Actinopteri; Esociformes; Esocidae. The record is from RefSeq and is a predicted model, not a curated record. The transcript has 3 exons.